CAGUAGCCGCGGGAAUACGGAGGGUGCAAGCGUUAAUCGGAAUUACUGGGCGUAAAGCGCACGCAGGCGGUCUGACAAGUCAGAUGUGAAAUCCCCGGGCUUAACCUGGGAACUGCAUUUGAAACUGUCAGGCUGGAGUCUUGUAGAGGGGGGUGGAAUUCCAGGUGUAGCGGUGAAAUGCGUAGAGAUCUGGAGGAAUACCGGUGGCGAAGGCGGCCCCUGGACAAAGACUGACGCUCAGGUGCGAAAGCGUGGGGAGCAAACAGGAUUAGAUACCCCUGUAGUCCCUGUCUCUUAUACA
This 301-nucleotide ribosomal RNA is filed under the name uncultured bacterium. RNAcentral's name for it is "partial 16S ribosomal RNA". It matches the Rfam family "Bacterial small subunit ribosomal RNA", at positions 509 to 808 of the family's 1533-position model. The record is from RNAcentral.